UUAGACUCGCAGGCUGUCCGUCUACAAGGUCCUGCUGAUCCGCUCAUGUCAUGCAGGAGACCCGGGGCAUCUUUUUCCUCCUCAACACACCACCACACUCACCUAACACACACACGCUCGCCGACACGAACCCCCUCGCGCACGCACGCACACAUACACACACACAGACAUGUCGAUCGAUUUGCAUGUGACUUCGUCAGGGAAUGAGCCGAGAAUCGACUCAAAAACAUCGCUUCAAAGAGGCAAAGAGCCACGAUAAAAUAAAAAAGCAAAAGGCGGACAAAGUGGGGGAAAGAGGAAAAGUGUAGCGAUAGAGAAACUAAGGCAGGGCGGAGGGAUUGAACAUUUCACAGACAGACGUGCCGGAGAAACACACAAAAAAUGUGUUUAUCCAGAAGAGGAUUUUAUAAGCAUACGACGGUACUGAAACCCUGGAUGUGGCGAGGGUCAAAUCUGUCAAAAAAUAGGAGGAAAGAGAUGUUCCCCUUCGCCCCGGACGCACACGGACCCACAGGCUGGACUUGGAGCUCUUUUUCUGGGCUACGCUCGCAUGGAGCUGCCGCUACUCUCCGUCCGCUCCACACAGCACCAUUUCUUAUUGCAUCUGUGUCUUAAAACACGUUUCUUGACACCCAUAAGCCCUCUAUACCUUUCCCCAAACCCACCGAAAUGCACAUAUUUGUUUGAAAACCGUGUUUUUCUACGGCAAACUGCUUGGAGAGGAUCGCUGUCUUGCCCAUUUCUUAUCUACCAUUCAUGAGGAGGAGAGGACGAACGCUGAUGUAAACACAGGUCUGAAAGAGUGACAACAGAGGAUCCAUGCAGCAAAAAGACAGACGGAUUGGUGAAAAAAAGAAGAUGAUGAGUUUGCAUCUGGAAGAUUCUAUCACUUCCUGUUGUUCCUGUAAUGCCAUGACUUCCCGGUUUGUCAGGGCGACCUGUGGGAGUGUGUGUGUCGGAUCAAUAGCCCACCCACAGCAAGAGCCGCGGGCCAUCCCUGACCUGAGCUAUUGAUUAGGCCUGGCUCAGCUGCCAAUAGCAAUGUACUGGAUGCGACACUGGGCUAAGGCAGGAGCUGAGGAAGGGGGAUUGUGAAUUGCCAGUGGCAGCCCCACAGCACACCGCAGAUAAAAGUCAAUUCCACUUAACCAAAUCACUGACAACUAAAUAGUUAGAAGACGGAAGAAUGCCGAGAGUCUCUGAUGGCAGCAGCUGGAUGACUUCGGGGAUUUCCGCUGACCUGGACAGCAACAGGCCAUGGGAGCAACACAAUGAAGAACCCAGAACUCUGACUGAUGAUGACCUCUGCCUGCACGUCAGUGUGUUCAUCUUUUAAUCUGUACUCUUCUCACUCUGCAGGUGGCAUCUGUAUCAUUAACAGAUUAGGGACACCCAUCAAUGGCUGUCAGAGGAUGAUUAUAAUCCCACCUGCUGCUGUGGACGUGCUUGACUCCAACUGCUACAAUAAUUAUUGACUUUAAUAUCGUUUUCUAAUGCAAACACUAGUCAUAUUUUGCAUUUAACAUUGCCUCUAUGAGUCUUGUUGUCAUUUUGUUGCUAACUGUCCGUUUCUCUCUAUCAUACCUCUCCUUUUCUGUAUAUCCCUCUAUUCCUAUUUAAAGGCCAAUUUAAUUGCAGCAGGUGGCUGUUCACCCAUGUGUCCGGUUCUGCUCGAGUUUUCGACCUGUUUGAGGGAAGUAUUUCCUCGGUGCUGGUGCCAUGUGCUUUUUCAUGGUGGAUUAAUAUUAUGAUUUCUGUCAUCAUUUAACAAAAAGUACAGUCUAGACCUGCUCCUAUUGUAAAGUUGUGUUUUUUUUGGCGCUAUGUAAAUAAAAAUGUAUUGAUUUAUGAAGUGAUUAAUGUGAGGGACAACUUUUUACAAAGGCUAUCAACGGUUGAUUAUCUAGGAAUAUUUGAAAUUCAUUAUCAGAUCUUUAUCAAUGAUUGAUGAUUACUACAUUUUUUUUUGAAGAAGGGUGGUUAUCAUGUAGAUGCAGUGCAGGUCAAAAACAUGGGCAAGAAAAAGACAAUAUGCACACACUUACACGAUGCCACUGAAGUGCUGAGUAUGUGUAUAGCUUCCUCUUCUGGCUACUAGAUUUAUAUUACAAUAUAGAAAUCAAUUCACAAAAUGUUUUUAAA
Long non-coding RNA from Labrus mixtus (cuckoo wrasse), 2142 nucleotides. RefSeq lists it as uncharacterized. Lineage: Eukaryota; Metazoa; Chordata; Actinopteri; Labriformes; Labridae. The record is from RefSeq and is a predicted model, not a curated record. The transcript is spliced from 3 exons.